AAGCGGUGGAGCAUGUGGUUUAAUUCGAUGCAACGCGAAGAACCUUACCUACUCUUGACAUCCAGAGAACUUUCCAGAGAUGGAUUGGUGCCUUCGGGAACUCUGAGACAGGUGCUGCAUGGCUGUCGUCAGCUCGUGUUGUGAAAUGUUGGGUUAAGUCCCGCAACGAGCGCAACCCUUAUCCUUUGUUGCCAGCGGUUAGGCCGGGAACUCAAAGGAGACUGCCAGUGAUAAACUGGAGGAAGGUGGGGAUGACGUCAAGUCAUCAUGGCCCUUACGAGUAGGGCUACACACGUGCUACAAUGGCGCAUACAAAGAGAAGCGACCUCGCGAGAGCAAGCGGACCUCAUAAAGUGCGUCGUAGUCCGGAUUGGAGUCUGCAACUCGACUCCAUGAAGUCGGAAUCGCUAGUAAUCGUAGAUCAGAAUGCUACCGUGAAUACGUUCCCGGGCCUUGUACACACCGCCCGUCACACCAUGGGAGUGGGUUGCAAAAAAAUAGGUACUUACCUCGGGAGCGCUACCCUUGUGCUCUG
Molecule: ribosomal RNA, 535 nt
Filed under: Enterobacter sp. B-13M3
Lineage: Bacteria; Pseudomonadati; Pseudomonadota; Gammaproteobacteria; Enterobacterales; Enterobacteriaceae
Description: bacterial SSU rRNA
Rfam family: Bacterial small subunit ribosomal RNA
Source: RNAcentral